AUUGAACGCUGGCGGCAGGCCUAACACAUGCAAGUCGAACUGUAACAGGAAGAAGCUUGCUUCUUUGCUGACGAGUGGCGGACGGGUGAGUAAUGUCUGGGAAACUGCCUGAUGGAGGGGGAUAACUACUGGAAACGGUAGCUAAUACCGCAUAACGUCGCAAGACCAAAGAGGGGGACCUUCGGGCCUCUUGCCAUCGGAUGUGCCCAGAUGGGAUUAGCUAGUAGGUGGGGUAACGGCUCACCUAGGCGACGAUCCCUAGCUGGUCUGAGAGGAUGACCAGCCACACUGGAACUGAGACACGGUCCAGACUCCUACGGGAGGCAGCAGUGGGGAAUAUUGCACAAUGGGCGCAAGCCUGAUGCAGCCAUGCCGCGUGUAUGAAGAAGGCCUUCGGGUUGUAAAGUACUUUUAGCGGGGAGGAAGGGAGUAAAGUUAAUACCUUUGCUCAUUGACGUUACCCGCAGAAGAAGCACCGGCUAACUCCGUG
RNAcentral lists this ribosomal RNA (490 nucleotides) under uncultured bacterium. RNAcentral's name for it is "partial 16S ribosomal RNA". It matches the Rfam family "Bacterial small subunit ribosomal RNA", at positions 30 to 507 of the family's 1533-position model. The record is from RNAcentral.